RNAcentral lists this ribosomal RNA (389 nucleotides) under uncultured prokaryote. RNAcentral describes it as "bacterial SSU rRNA". It matches the Rfam family "Archaeal small subunit ribosomal RNA", at positions 336 to 725 of the family's 1478-position model. The record is from RNAcentral.
UAGGCGCGAAAACUUUACAAUGCUGGCAACAGCGAUAAGGGAACCUCGAGUGCCAGGUUACAAAUCUGGCUGUCGAGAUGCCUAAAAAGCAUUGCAUAGCAAGGGCCGGGCAAGACCGGUGCCAGCCGCCGCGGUAACACCGGCGGCUCGAGUGGUAACCGUUAUUAUUGGGUCUAAAGGGUCUGUAGCCGGCCGGAUAAGUCUCUUGAGAAAUCUGGCAGCCUAACUGUCAGGCUUUCAGGAGAUACUGUCUGGCUCGAGGCCGGGAGAGGUGAGAGGUACUUCAGGGGUAGGGGUGAAAUCUUGUAAUCCUUGAAGGACCACCAGUGGCGAAGGCGUCUCACCAGAACGGACCUGACGGCAAGAGACGAAAGCUAGGGGCACGAACA